Molecule: non-coding RNA, 120 nt
Organism: Callithrix jacchus (white-tufted-ear marmoset)
Lineage: Eukaryota; Metazoa; Chordata; Mammalia; Primates; Cebidae
Source: Rfam
CUUUUUCUCUAUUUCUCUUUCCAAUCUUUUUGUUUCUAUCUGAUCUUGGAAGAUAAGCAGGGUUGGGCCUGGUCAGUACUUGGAUUGGAGACCACCUUGGAAUACCAGAUGCUGUAGGGU